RNAcentral lists this non-coding RNA (30 nucleotides) under Homo sapiens (human). Lineage: Eukaryota; Metazoa; Chordata; Mammalia; Primates; Hominidae. The record is from RNAcentral.
UCCAGAUUCUGGGCCCAGAAAUAGGGUAGC